CUGCCAUUUGAUUGCAUCAGAUACCACGUGAUGGGUACACAGAUUCCAAGUCCAUUAAGAUGGAUGUAUUUUCAACACAACAAAUUCAUAAGGUCCCAUUACCGCAGCUGUAACCUACUCAUGACUCCCACACCUGACUCUCCUGUCAACUACACAAAUGCUUAUGGACAAUGGCUUUUCCUCCAAGUCUCAAGGUCAAGCUUCCUACCUCCCUAUAUGUAUACGAACCCUCAACGACCAGAUUGGACUUGUCGUAAUGGACUUCUUACUCCGCGAUGUAUCGGAACUCAAGGACUGGAGUGG
This 303-nucleotide long non-coding RNA is filed under the name Haliotis rufescens (red abalone). Its description in RNAcentral is "uncharacterized LOC124110743". Lineage: Eukaryota; Metazoa; Mollusca; Gastropoda; Lepetellida; Haliotidae. The record is from RNAcentral.